This 243-nucleotide ribosomal RNA is filed under the name uncultured Staphylococcus sp. RNAcentral's name for it is "partial 16S ribosomal RNA". It matches the Rfam family "Bacterial small subunit ribosomal RNA", at positions 96 to 334 of the family's 1533-position model. The record is from RNAcentral. Lineage: Bacteria; Bacillati; Bacillota; Bacilli; Caryophanales; Staphylococcaceae.
CGGCGGACGGGUGAGUAACACGUGGAUAACCUACCUAUAAGACUGGGAUAACUUCGGGAAACCGGAGCUAAUACCGGAUAAUAUAUUGAACCGCAUGGUUCAAUAGUGAAAGACGGUUUUGCUGUCACUUAUAGAUGGAUCCGCGCCGCAUUAGCUAGUUGGUAAGGUAACGGCUUACCAAGGCAACGAUGCGUAGCCGACCUGAGAGGGUGAUGGCCACACUGGAACUGAGACACGGUCCAG